UGCUCAAACUCACUAUAUCUCCAGAGCCUUCGUAACUACAUAGGUGUUGGUAGCCUGAGGGAAGUGUAACUGUGGAGAAGUGUUGCGUAGUUAUCCAAGCUCGUUAUGUGCUUGUGUGUAAAAAGUGUCAAAGAACAGGACGUGUAUAAAGAUGAUUAUUAAGGGAGUGCCAAAGAAAAAAAAAAGGACUUGCCUGUUUCUUCACUACUCGCUGCCUCUUCCGUCCUCGCCCUUUCUCAUUUUGAUCCUCACGUACGCCUCGUCCUGGUGGUCCCGGGAACUUUCUGCGCCGCGUCAGUGAUCGUAAGCACAUCGCCAGGACGGAAUCUCUCUUCACCUCCACCACCAAGGAUACAAGCCGUGGUCGUGUACGGGAACUCACCAUCUUCAGCCGAUAUAAUGCCUCACGACACGGAACAGUCAGAGGUGAAGGACGAGGCCACGCGACGCUGUGACUCACAAGACACAUUUCCUUGUCCGAUCCUUGAGUCUUGUUGCUAUUUUAUGAGAGAGAGAGAGAGAGAGAGAGAGAGAGAGAGAGAGAGGCAGAGGGAGAGAUCAACUACACGGGGAACCUACAAAAACUUCCAUUAUCCAUCAAGCACAGAGGCGAGGUCGUAAGCGAUCACUCAGCCAGCCAAGUGAUGAGGCAAAGAAGUCAGAUUUAGUACCGGAGUCUGUGCGGAACGAAUGGAAUAUUUAAUUAGGGGAGAAGAAGACAUAAAGAGUAGAAUUUAUUGCAGGAACAAACGGUAGAGUAGAAUGUAUGACCGGCCACCUAUUAGAUCCAAUCGCUGGAUUAGACAAUUUUUACUACCGAAGGGAAUUAGAUAACAAUAAGUAGCUAUAAAGAAAUAUAAAAUUGAAUAAAUAUACACAUGAUCAUAAAUAGAUUUGGGGAAACAAACAGGAAAAACACACACACUCACACACACACACACACACACACACACACACACACACACACACACACACACACACACACACACACACAC
Molecule: long non-coding RNA, 995 nt
Organism: Portunus trituberculatus (swimming crab)
Lineage: Eukaryota; Metazoa; Arthropoda; Malacostraca; Decapoda; Portunidae
Exons: 3
Source: RefSeq, a predicted model, not a curated record